GGACCCGUGGUGUAGCCUGGCCUAACACAUCUGACUGUCGAUCAGAAGAUCGCGAGUUCGAAUCUCGUCGGGUCCGCCA
Molecule: transfer RNA, 79 nt
Filed under: Candidatus Omnitrophota bacterium
Lineage: Bacteria; Pseudomonadati; Candidatus Omnitrophota
Description: Candidatus Omnitrophica bacterium tRNA-Asp
Rfam family: tRNA
About the family: Transfer RNA (tRNA) molecules are approximately 80 nucleotides in length.
Source: RNAcentral